GACGAACGCUGGCGGCGUGCUUAACACAUGCAAGUCGAACGAUAAAGCACCAGCUUGCUGGUGUGGAUUAGUGGCGAACGGGUGAGUAACACGUGAGUAACCUGCCCCUCACUCUGGGAGAAGCCUGGGAAGCUGGGUCUAAUACUGGAUACGACCGAUCUCCGCAGGGUGUGUUGGUGUAAGGUUUGUGUGGUGGGGGAUGGACUCGCGGCCUAUCAGCUGGUUGGUGGGGUAAUGGCCUACCAAGGCGACGACGGGUAGCCGGCCUGAGAGGGCGACCGGCCACACUGGGACUGAGACACGGCCCAGACUCCUACGGGAGGCAGCAGUGGGGAAUAUUGCACAAUGGGCGAAAGCCUGAUGCAGCGACGCCGCGUGAGGGAUGACGGCCUUCGGGUUGUAAACCUCUUUCACCAGGGACGAAGCUAACGUGACGGUACCUGGAGAAGAAGCACCGGCUAACUACGUG
This 469-nucleotide ribosomal RNA is filed under the name uncultured bacterium. RNAcentral's name for it is "partial 16S ribosomal RNA". It matches the Rfam family "Bacterial small subunit ribosomal RNA", at positions 28 to 507 of the family's 1533-position model. The record is from RNAcentral.